This 302-nucleotide ribosomal RNA is filed under the name uncultured bacterium. RNAcentral's name for it is "partial 16S ribosomal RNA". It matches the Rfam family "Bacterial small subunit ribosomal RNA", at positions 508 to 807 of the family's 1533-position model. The record is from RNAcentral.
GCAGCAGCCGCGGGAAUACAGAGGGUGCGAGCGUUAAUCGGAUUUACUGGGCGUAAAGCGUGCGUAGGCGGCUUUUUAAGUCGGAUGUGAAAUCCCUGAGCUUAACUUAGGAAUUGCAUUCGAUACUGGGAAGCUAGAGUAUGGGAGAGGAUGGUAGAAUUCCAGGUGUAGCGGUGAAAUGCGUAGAGAUCUGGAGGAAUACCGAUGGCGAAGGCAGCCAUCUGGCCUAAUACUGACGCUGAGGUACGAAAGCAUGGGGAGCAAACAGGAUUAGAGACCCCCGUAGUCCCUGUCUCUUAUAC